This 421-nucleotide ribosomal RNA is filed under the name uncultured bacterium. Its description in RNAcentral is "bacterial SSU rRNA". It matches the Rfam family "Bacterial small subunit ribosomal RNA", at positions 28 to 494 of the family's 1533-position model. The record is from RNAcentral.
GGCGAACGCUGGCGGCAGGCUUAACACAUGCAAGUCGAGCGGGCACUUCGGUGUCAGCGGCAGACGGGUGAGUAACACGUGGGAACGUACCCUUCGGUUCGGAAUAACGCUGGGAAACUAGCGCUAAUACCGGAUACGCCCUUUUGGGGAAAGGUUUACUGCCGAAGGAUCGGCCCGCGUCUGAUUAGCUAGUUGGUGGGGUAAUGGCCUACCAAGGCGACGAUCAGUAGCUGGUCUGAGAGGAUGAUCAGCCACACUGGGACUGAGACACGGCCCAGACUCCUACGGGAGGCAGCAGUGGGGAAUAUUGGACAAUGGGCGCAAGCCUGAUCCAGCCAUGCCGCGUGAGUGAUGAAGGCCUUAGGGUUGUUAAAGCUCUUUUGUCCGGGACGAUAAUGACGGUACCGGAAGAAUAAGCCCC